CGGCAGGUCUACCAUGCAGUCGAGCGGCAGCACGGGUACUUGUACCUGGUGGCGAGCGGCGGACGGGUGAGUAAUACCUAGGAAUCUGCCUGGUAGUGGGGGAUAACGUCCGGAAACGGACGCUAAUACCGCAUACGUCCUACGGGAGAAAGCAGGGGACCUUCGGGCCUUGCGCUAUCAGAUGAGCCUAGGUCGGAUUAGCUAGUUGGUGAGGUAAUGGCUCACCAAGGCUACGAUCCGUAACUGGUCUGAGAGGAUGAUCAGUCACACUGGAACUGAGACACGGUCCAGACUCCUACGGGAGGCAGCAGUGGGGAAUAUUGGACAAUGGGCGAAAGCCUGAUCCAGCCAUGCCGCGUGUGUGAAGAAGGUCUUCGGAUUGUAAAGCACUUUAAGUUGGGAGGAAGGGCAGUUACCUAAUACGUGAUUGUUUUGACGUUACCGACAGAAUAAGCACCGGCUAACUCUGUGCCAGCAGCCGCGGUAAUACAGAGGGUGCAAGCGUUAAUCGGAAUUACUGGGCGUAAAGCGCGCGUAGGUGGUUCGUUAAGUUGGAUGUGAAAUCCCCGGGCUCAACCUGGGAACUGCAUUCAAAACUGUCGAGCUAGAGUAUGGUAGAGGGUGGUG
Molecule: ribosomal RNA, 627 nt
Filed under: Pseudomonas frederiksbergensis
Lineage: Bacteria; Pseudomonadati; Pseudomonadota; Gammaproteobacteria; Pseudomonadales; Pseudomonadaceae
Description: bacterial SSU rRNA
Rfam family: Bacterial small subunit ribosomal RNA
Source: RNAcentral